This 253-nucleotide ribosomal RNA is filed under the name uncultured bacterium. RNAcentral describes it as "partial 16S ribosomal RNA". It matches the Rfam family "Bacterial small subunit ribosomal RNA", at positions 524 to 776 of the family's 1533-position model. The record is from RNAcentral.
UACGUAGGGGGCUAGCGUUGUCCGGAAUCAUUGGGCGUAAAGCGCGUGUAGGCGGUCCGGUAAGUCCGCUGUGAAAGUCGAGGGCUCAACCCUCGAAUGCCGGUGGAUACUGUCGGGCUAGAGUGCGGAAGAGGUGAGUGGAAUUCCUGGUGUAGCGGUGAAAUGCGCAGAUAUCAGGAGGAACACCUAUUGCGAAGGCAGCUCGCUGGGACGUUACUGACGCUGAGACGCGAAAGCGUGGGGAGCGAACCGG